CAGCAACAAGGACCUACCACAGCUCCAGGACUUUGGGGGGCAGCUUUUCAGGGACUUGGUAAUACUGAAGGACCCAGGAGAGGACUUCCCGCCACCGAUCCAUUUCUGCCAGGGCCUGAAUCCCCACAACACACAAGGAGCAUUUCACCUCCAAGGAGCUGUCAACAGAAAAACAAACUCAGGCUCCCCUUCUCCUCAACCCCCAAAUCUCUUAGCACCAAACUGGCUUUGGCCCAGGUGAAAUCAAAUUUGAGUGAACAGACAGGGUAAUCCUGAGUGGAAAACGACAACACUCAGCACAGACGCAUCUGUCAAAGCCACUGUGAUAUACCAUCUACGUGCGAGGGUACCCAAAACUUCUCAAGCUGAGAUGCAGAAUUCCUAAACGGAAGCUAAUUCUCUCCACCUGUGGGAGAGUAAACAGAAAAAACACCAGACUAGAAGACGUGAGACAACAGUAUCCUGAGUCCUUCUGUGAGGAAGCCAUGUGCUCUCAAGAUUCCCA
Molecule: non-coding RNA, 505 nt
Organism: Heterocephalus glaber (naked mole-rat)
Lineage: Eukaryota; Metazoa; Chordata; Mammalia; Rodentia; Bathyergidae
Source: RefSeq, a predicted model, not a curated record